GAUGAACGCUGGCGGCGUGCCUAACACAUGCAAGUCGAACGAAGCACUUUUUUACGAUCCCUUCGGGGUGACGAAUUUGUGACUGAGUGGCGGACGGGUGAGUAACGCGUGGGAAACCUGCCUUGUACCGGGGGAUAGCAGUUGGAAACGACUGAUAAUACCGCAUAAGCGCACAGUAUCACAUGAUACAGUGUGAAAAACUCCGGUGGUACAAGAUGGUCCCGCGUCUGAUUAGCUUGUUGGCGGGGUAAUGGCCCACCAAGGCGACGAUCAGUAGCCGACCUGAGAGGGUGACCGGCCACAUUGGGACUGAGACACGGCCCAAACUCCUACGGGAGGCAGCAGUGGGGAAUAUUGCACAAUGGAGGAAACUCUGAUGCAGCGACGCCGCGUGAGCGAUGAAGUAUUUCGGUAUGUAAAGCUCUAUCAGCAGGGAAGAUAAAUGACGGUACCUGACUAAGAAGCUCCGGCUAAAUACGUGCCAGCAGCCG
This 491-nucleotide ribosomal RNA is filed under the name uncultured bacterium. RNAcentral's name for it is "bacterial SSU rRNA". It matches the Rfam family "Bacterial small subunit ribosomal RNA", at positions 28 to 517 of the family's 1533-position model. The record is from RNAcentral.